GUGUCAGCCUCCGCGGUAAUACGUAGGCAGCGAGCGUUGUUCGGAGUUACUGGGCGUAAAGGGUGUGUAGGCGGUUGUUUAAGUUUGGUGUGAAAUCUCCCGGCUCAACCGGGAGGGUGCGCCGAAUACUGAAUGACUAGAGUGUGGGAGAGGUGAGUGGAAUUCCUGGUGUAGCGGUGAAAUGCGUAGAUAUCAGGAGGAACACCGGUGGUGUAGACGGCUCACUGGACCAUAACUGACGCUGAGACACGAAAGCGUGGGGAGCAAACAGGAUUAGAAACCCUCGUAGUCC
RNAcentral lists this ribosomal RNA (292 nucleotides) under uncultured bacterium. RNAcentral describes it as "partial 16S ribosomal RNA". It matches the Rfam family "Bacterial small subunit ribosomal RNA", at positions 505 to 796 of the family's 1533-position model. The record is from RNAcentral.